This 285-nucleotide ribosomal RNA is filed under the name Triticum aestivum (bread wheat). RNAcentral's name for it is "partial small subunit ribosomal RNA". Lineage: Eukaryota; Viridiplantae; Streptophyta; Magnoliopsida; Poales; Poaceae. The record is from RNAcentral.
AUGAUACUGGGGAGAGGCGACACUGCCAGGUUUUGGACUGAUAACUGGACACCGGAAGGGCGUAGUAUUGCCUCCUUGGCACCAGCCUUGUUUUCAUUUGUGAAAGAUUCCAAGUUGUCAGUCCUGGAUGCGCUACACAAUCGAAGAUGGAUCAAGGACAUCAAAGGCGGCUUGACAGUCCAAGCCUUGGCGCAAUACUUAUGGGUCUGGGACAUUGCACAGGCUGCUGUACUCGAUUCGGAGGCUCGGGAUCGACUCGAGUGGAGGAGGACAGAGCACCACUAA